This 478-nucleotide ribosomal RNA is filed under the name uncultured bacterium. RNAcentral describes it as "partial 16S ribosomal RNA". It matches the Rfam family "Bacterial small subunit ribosomal RNA", at positions 28 to 523 of the family's 1533-position model. The record is from RNAcentral.
AACGAACGCUGGCGGCGUGCUUAACACAUGCAAGUCGAACGGUAAGGCCCUUCGGGGUACACGAGUGGCGAACGGGUGAGUAACACGUGGGUGAUCUGCCCUGCACUUCGGGAUAAGCCUGGGAAACUGGGUCUAAUACCGGAUAGGACCACUGCCUGCAUGGGUGGAGGUGGAAAGCUUUUGCGGUGUGGGAUGGGCCCACGGCCUAUCAGCUUGUUGGUGGGGUGAUGGCCUACCAAGGCGACGACGGGUAGCCGGCCUGGGAGGGUGACCGGCCACACUGGGACUGAGAUACGGCCCAGACUCCUACGGGAGGCAGCAGUGGGGAAUAUUGCACAAUGGGCGCAAGCCUGAUGCAGCGACGCCGCGUGAGGGAUGACGGCCUUCGGGUUGUAAACCUCUUUCAGCACCGACGAAGCGCAAGUGACGGUAGGUGCAGAAGAAGGACCGGCCAACUACGUGCCAGCCGCCGCGGUAA